Portunus trituberculatus (swimming crab) is the source of this 525-nucleotide long non-coding RNA. RefSeq lists it as uncharacterized. The transcript has 2 exons. The record is from RefSeq and is a predicted model, not a curated record. NCBI's taxonomy places the organism in Eukaryota, Metazoa, Arthropoda, Malacostraca, Decapoda, Portunidae.
AGAGAGAGAGAGAGAGAGAGAGAGAGAGAGAGAGAGAGAGAGAGAGAGAGAGAGAGAAUAUGUGUGUUAGUGGUAAAAUAUGUUAAUGUAGAAAUGUGAUAAAAGAGAGAGAGAGAGAGAGAGAGAUAUCUGCAACUUUUUUUUCUUUUUUUUACUUUCAUUCUUUCUUCUCUCCUCUCUCUCUCUCUCUCUCUCUUCCUUUUUCUCUCUUCUUCCUUCCUUCCAGAGAGAGAGAGAGAGUACCUACAAUUUUGCAUCAAUAAAAUUAUGUCAGAAUUAUUAUAAUAAGAACAUUCAUUUCUUCUACCUGUCUAAUAAUAAUAAUAAUAAUAAUAAUAACUAUUGUAUAUAAUCAAAAGUAAUGCUAAUAAUAACUACAAUUAUUAUUUAUUCAAUUUUAUUUCACUAAUUUUUAUUCAUUUUUUUCUGUCCUGACUUUGAAGAGUAUUGGAACCACUGUUAAGAGGUUCCAAUACUUCAUUUACCUUCAGUUUUUAUUGAUGUCAUUAACUCACUAAAGGUUUA